AGAGCGAACGCUGGCGGCAGGCCUAACACAUGCAAGUCGAGCGGCCGUAGCAAUACGGCAGCGGCAGACGGGAUAGUAACACGUGGGAACGCGCCCUUCGGUUCGGAAUAACUCAGGGAAACUUGAGCUAAUACCGGAUACGCCCUUACGGGGAAAGAUUUAUUGCCGAAGGAACGGCCCGCGUCCGAUUAGCUAGUUGGUGAGGUAAUGGCUCACCAAGGCUACGAUCGGUAGCUGGUCUGAGAGGAUGACCAGCAUCACUGGGACUGAGACACGGCCCAGACUCCUACGGGAGGCAGCAGUGGGGAAUAUUGGACAAUGGGCGCAAGCCUGAUCCAGCCAUGCCGCGUGGAUGAUGACGGCCUUAGGGUUGUAAAGUCCUUUUAACGGGGAAGAUAAUGACGGUACCCGUAGAAUAAGCCCGGCUAACUUCGCGCCAGCAGCCGC
Molecule: ribosomal RNA, 447 nt
Filed under: uncultured bacterium
Lineage: Bacteria
Description: SSU rRNA
Rfam family: Bacterial small subunit ribosomal RNA
Source: RNAcentral